Molecule: ribosomal RNA, 433 nt
Filed under: uncultured bacterium
Lineage: Bacteria
Description: partial 16S ribosomal RNA
Rfam family: Bacterial small subunit ribosomal RNA
Source: RNAcentral
AGCGAACGCUGGCGGCAGGCCUAACACAUGCAAGUCGAACGAACUCUUCGGAGUUAGUGGCGGACGGGUGAGUAACACGUGGGAACGUGCCUUUUGGUUCGGAAUAACUCAGGGAAACUUGUGCUAAUACCGAAUGUGCCCUUCGGGGGAAAGAUUUAUCGCCAUUAGAGCGGCCCGCGUCUGAUUAGCUAGUUGGUGGGGUAACGGCUCACCAAGGCGACGAUCAGUAGCUGGUCUGAGAGGAUGACCAGCCACACUGGGACUGAGACACGGCCCAGACUCCUACGGGAGGCAGCAGUGGGGAAUCUUGCGCAAUGGGCGAAAGCCUGACGCAGCCAUGCCGCGUGAAUGAUGUAGGUCUUAGGAUUGUAAAAUUCUUUCACCGGGGACGAUAAUGACGGUACCCGGAGAAGAAGCCCCGGCUAACUUCGUG